Long non-coding RNA from Ictidomys tridecemlineatus (thirteen-lined ground squirrel), 1621 nucleotides. RefSeq lists it as uncharacterized. The record is from RefSeq and is a predicted model, not a curated record. Lineage: Eukaryota; Metazoa; Chordata; Mammalia; Rodentia; Sciuridae.
CAUCACAAUCCAACUGGGGGCAAGGCUGGCCUCCAACUUUCGAUCCUCCUGCCUCAGCCUCCCGAGCCACUGGGUUGACAGGUGUGUGCCUACCACCACGCUGGACUCCACGGCCAUUUGACGGAGUGACAAACUGGGGAUCCCUGCAGCCAGCCGGAGCUUUGCCAGGGUGCUCCAGGGGGUGGGCUAGUUGUUCCCGGUGCUCCGUCUUCCUGUGUGACCACGGUCCAGCGUGACACCCUCUCUGAUCCUCCGGAGACAGGUGGUCUCCAGGAGAUGUCCAGGUUCUCCCUGUCCACCCCCAGCCACCUCUUAGGUUCUCCCGCCCUCGGAGCCACCUUCAGUGGGAAGAGAAGUCACUUGUGUCGUUCCAGAAAGGACGCGUGAGUCAGAGGCCGCGUGAGUGACUUUCCCAGCGGGGCCCGUCAUUGUGUGUGCUGUGAAGGAGACUCCGGCCCGGCCUCCGCCUUUCAGGAAAGGGACAAAAAAAAGACCCUGAUGAUGUCAAGGAGGUGACCUCUGGGGACACUCCGAGUGGCCAGGGGCCCAGGUGGCCUUGGGAGCUGUCAAUCACGUGACGGGCUCAGGGGACUUUGGUUCCUCUCCCAGGGCUGAGGCCGCGUUGGGAUUCGGGUGGCGACUUGUCCAGGCGCCAACCCGGGGAGGGGGGGGUGUCCCCGGCUUGUAUGGAGGGACAGCAGAGAGGGGCAGGUCCCCUCUUCACGGUCUGCUGGAAGGCGCCUCCCAGCACACUCCUGACCUCGGGAGAUGGCGGGGAACCAUGGCCUCCCCUCUCCAGGUCGCUGCUGCCCAGUUUCACCUUGAAUUUGGUCAAAACUUGUGAUGAAUGAUCGCCCUCCUCCGCCCUGGGCCUCCCCGGGCCCAGUUGGCACUCCAUAAAUGCCCACUGGCUUAGGAGGGGCCAAGUUGGCUCUGGUUAGCCUCCCCCGCUUGGUCCCCGCUGUGUGACGUCCACGGUGUGGGGUGGCAUCUCUGGGUCUUGGGAAACGCACGGACCCCGGCCUGAGGAGCUUCCGGGGCCCAAUUGGGUCCAGGACCAGGUUCAACCUGAAACCGGCCUCUGAGGACGCAGGUUCUCGUCUUUGCUAUGAAUUUGCUGUGUGAUCUUGGGAAACUCACUCACCGUCUCUGGGCCAUAGGCACUUGUCUGGUGGAGAUCAGGACGCUCACUCCAUUUAAGAGAUCCUUCCAUUCUUUCCAAGCCCUCAACAUUUAUUGAGCUCCAACUGUGUGCUAGGAUGGAAAUGGAAGACAGAGCUUACAGCGGGAUCCUUAGAGCUGCCCUGAACAGUUGACGUCGCCGUUUACCUAACCAACAUCCUUCUUCUCUUCUGAGUAAUAGGCCUCUGGUUUUGUUCAGGGUGGUGCUGUGUCCAAAGAACUACAUUUCCCAGCCUCCCUUGCAGCUAAGGAGCUUGUGUUCUGUUUGGGAUGUGGGUGUGAUGGCUGGAACUCUGCAGAAGGGUUAUGAGCAUGAGGACAAGGAGCACACCUGGAUGCAGUGUGGUGGCCAGUGCCCUGUGGCCACGGAGCCCUGGGUACCCGGCUAGUGUGCCCGAGAGCUGGACUUUUCAUUUAAGGAGCCACGUCACGGUGAGUG